CCUACGGGAGGCAGCAGUGAGGAAUAUUGGUCAAUGGACGCAAGUCUGAACCAGCCAAGUAGCGUGCAGGAUGACGGCCCUCCGGGUUGUAAACUGCUUUUAGUUGGGAAUAAAAGGGGGCUCGUGAGCCCCGUCUUGUAUGUACCAUCAGAUAAAGGACCGGCUACUUCCGUGCCAGCAGCCGCGGUAAUACGGCAGGUCCGGGCGUGAUCCGGAUUUAUUGGGUUUAAAGGGAGCGUAGGCCGGCUUUUAAGUCAGCUGUGAAAGUCCGCGGCUCAACCGUGGAAUUGCAGUUGAAACUGGAGGACUUGAGUGCACACAGGGAUGCCGGAAUUCAUGGUGUAGCGGUGAAAUGCUUAGAUAUCAUGAAGAACUCCGAUCGCGAAGGCGAGUGGCCGGGGUGCAACUGACGCUGAGGCUCGAAAGUGCGGGUAUCAAACAGGAUUAGAUACCCCAGUAGUC
RNAcentral lists this ribosomal RNA (462 nucleotides) under uncultured bacterium. RNAcentral's name for it is "partial 16S ribosomal RNA". It matches the Rfam family "Bacterial small subunit ribosomal RNA", at positions 338 to 795 of the family's 1533-position model. The record is from RNAcentral.